RNAcentral lists this ribosomal RNA (1290 nucleotides) under Mycobacterium intracellulare. Its description in RNAcentral is "bacterial SSU rRNA". It matches the Rfam family "Bacterial small subunit ribosomal RNA", at positions 80 to 1370 of the family's 1533-position model. Lineage: Bacteria; Bacillati; Actinomycetota; Actinomycetes; Mycobacteriales; Mycobacteriaceae. The record is from RNAcentral.
UUCGGGGGUACUCGAGUGGCGAACGGGUGAGUAACACGUGGGCAAUCUGCCCUGCACUUCGGGAUAAGCCUGGGAAACUGGGUCUAAUACCGGAUAGGACCUUUAGGCGCAUGUCUUUAGGUGGAAAGCUUUUGCGGUGUGGGAUGGGCCCGCGGCCUAUCAGCUUGUUGGUGGGGUGAUGGCCUACCAAGGCGACGACGGGUAGCCGGCCUGAGAGGGUGUCCGGCCACACUGGGACUGAGAUACGGCCCAGACUCCUACGGGAGGCAGCAGUGGGGAAUAUUGCACAAUGGGCGCAAGCCUGAUGCAGCGACGCCGCGUGGGGGAUGACGGCCUUCGGGUUGUAAACCUCUUUCACCAUCGACGAAGGUCCGGGUUUUCUCGGAUUGACGGUAGGUGGAGAAGAAGCACCGGCCAACUACGUGCCAGCAGCCGCGGUAAUACGUAGGGUGCGAGCGUUGUCCGGAAUUACUGGGCGUAAAGAGCUCGUAGGUNGUUUGUCGCGUUGUUCGUGAAAUCUCACGGCUUAACUGUGAGCGUGCGGGCGAUACGGGCAGACUAGAGUACUGCAGGGGAGACUGGAAUUCCUGGUGUAGCGGUGGAAUGCGCAGAUAUCAGGAGGAACACCGGUGGCGAAGGCGGGUCUCUGGGCAGUAACUGACGCUGAGGAGCGAAAGCGUGGGGAGCGAACAGGAUUAGAUACCCUGGUAGUCCACGCCGUAAACGGUGGGUACUAGGUGUGGGUUUCCUUCCUUGGGAUCCGUGCCGUAGCUAACGCAUUAAGUACCCCGCCUGGGGAGUACGGCCGCAAGGCUAAAACUCAAAGGAAUUGACGGGGGCCCGCACAAGCGGCGGAGCAUGUGGAUUAAUUCGAUGCAACGCGAAGAACCUUACCUGGGUUUGACAUGCACAGGACGCGUCUAGAGAUAGGCGUUCCCUUGUGGCCUGUGUGCAGGUGGUGCAUGGCUGUCGUCAGCUCGUGUCGUGAGAUGUUGGGUUAAGUCCCGCAACGAGCGCAACCCUUGUCUCAUGUUGCCAGCGGGUAAUGCCGGGGACUCGUGAGAGACUGCCGGGGUCAACUCGGAGGAAGGUGGGGAUGACGUCAAGUCAUCAUGCCCCUUAUGUCCAGGGCUUCACACAUGCUACAAUGGCCGGUACAAAGGGCUGCGAUGCCGCAAGGUUAAGCGAAUCCUUUUAAAGCCGGUCUCAGUUCGGAUUGGGGUCUGCAACUCGACCCCAUGAAGUCGGAGUCGCUAGUAAUCGCAGAUCAGCAACGCUGCGGUGAAUACG